This 611-nucleotide ribosomal RNA is filed under the name uncultured bacterium. RNAcentral's name for it is "bacterial SSU rRNA". It matches the Rfam family "Bacterial small subunit ribosomal RNA", at positions 338 to 1414 of the family's 1533-position model. The record is from RNAcentral.
CCUACGGGAGGCAGCAGUGAGGAAUAUUGGACAAUGGGCGCAAGCCUGAUCCAGCCAUGCCGCGUGCAGGAUGACGGUCCUAUGGAUUGUAAACUGCUUUUGUACAGGAAGAAACAGUUCUACGUGUAGAACCUUGACGGUACUGUAAGAAUAAGGAUCGGCUAACUCCGUGCCAGCAGCCGCGGUAAUACGGAGGAUCCAAGCGUUAUCCGGAAUCAUUGGGUUUAAAGGGUCCGUAGGCGGUUUAGUAAGUCAGUGGUGAAAGCCCAUCGCUCAACGGUGGAACGGCCAUUGAUACUGCUAAACUUGAAUUAUUAGGAAGUAACUAGAAUACGUAGUGUAGCGGUGAAAUGCUUAGAGAUUACAUGGAAUACCAAUUGCGAAGGCAGGUUACUACUAAUUGAUUGACGCUGAUGGACGAAAGCGUGGGUAGCGAACAGGAUUAGAUACCCUGGUAGUCCACGCCGUAAACGAUGGAUACUAGCUGUUGGAAGCAAUUUCAGUGGCUAAGCGAAAGUGAUAAGUAUCCACCUGGGGAGUACGUUCGCAAGAANAGAACGACAAGAAGUAGUACGACGUGAGAGNGACGACGACGACGACGAGGGAGGAGG